RNAcentral lists this small nucleolar RNA (125 nucleotides) under Acanthisitta chloris (rifleman). Its description in RNAcentral is "Small nucleolar RNA ACA64". It matches the Rfam family "Small nucleolar RNA ACA64". Lineage: Eukaryota; Metazoa; Chordata; Aves; Passeriformes; Acanthisittidae. The record is from Rfam by way of RNAcentral.
GCGGUCUGAAAAUCACUCCUGGUCUCCUGUGGCCUUGUGUGAGAUAACCACGCCCACAGCAUCGGGAACAUUAAGCUUAUUCCCCGCGGCUAUGUGUGGGGAGUGAAACCCAUGUUCCCAUAAGC